CUUCUAAGGCAGAAUUGGAAAUUGCCAAUCCUCCUGAACUGCAGAAGCACCUAGAACAUGCACCUUCCCCAUCGGAUGUUUCAAAUGCACCAGAAGUGAAAGCAGGUGUCAAUAGUGAUAGCCCUAAUAACUGUUCAGGAAAAAAGGUUGGAGUAGAAGAGGUGAUCUGUGACAGCCCCAUCCAGGAAGUCAGUUUUGACAGACCCAGCUAAACUCAAAAAGCUGCAACAGAGUGGCGAGGCCUUCGUACAGGAUGAUUCUUGUGUGAACAUCGUGGCACAGUUGCCUAAAUGCCGAGAGUGUCGCUUGGACAGUCUCCGCAAGGAUAAGGAGCAACAGAAGGACUCACCUGUGUUUUGCCGCUUCUUUCACUUCAGGAGGUUACAAUUCAACAAACAUGGUGUGUUGCGGGUAGAAGGCUUCUUAACACCAAACAAGUAUGACAAUGAAGCAAUUGGCUUGUGGUUACCUUUAACCAAAAACGUUGUGGGGAUUGAUUUGGACACAGCAAAGUACAUCUUGGCCAACAUUGGAGACCACUUCUGUCAAAUGGUG
RNAcentral lists this small RNA (555 nucleotides) under Pan troglodytes (chimpanzee). RNAcentral's name for it is "processed transcript". Lineage: Eukaryota; Metazoa; Chordata; Mammalia; Primates; Hominidae. The record is from RNAcentral.